Nycticebus coucang (slow loris) is the source of this 131-nucleotide small nucleolar RNA. RefSeq annotates it as small nucleolar RNA SNORA11. NCBI's taxonomy places the organism in Eukaryota, Metazoa, Chordata, Mammalia, Primates, Lorisidae. The record is from RefSeq and is a predicted model, not a curated record. The transcript has a single exon.
ACAGUGUGCUCAGAGCAAGGAGCCUAAAGAAUGGCUCCUGUGUUUAUAACACACCCAACAGGAAUCUGAGGUGACUGAGACCAGGAGCACACAAAACUUGUGGCCUCCUUGUGAACAAAUUCCAUACAUGU